Molecule: non-coding RNA, 117 nt
Filed under: Segniliparus rugosus
Lineage: Bacteria; Bacillati; Actinomycetota; Actinomycetes; Mycobacteriales; Segniliparaceae
Also listed under: 1 other name
Description: SAM-IV sequence
Rfam family: SAM (S-adenosyl methionine) riboswitch aptamer
About the family: SAM-IV is a mRNA element that regulates gene expression via direct sensing of S-adenosylmethionine (SAM or AdoMet). SAM-IV riboswitches share conserved nucleotide positions with the previously described SAM-I riboswitches sequence analysis and molecular recognition experiments suggest that SAM-I and SAM-IV riboswitches share similar ligand binding sites, but have different scaffolds.
Source: RNAcentral
GGUCAAGAGUGCUAGCGAGAAGCCCCGGCUGGCUAGUCGGCAACCCCCGUACCGCGGUGGGGUGCUCCGGGUGAGGACCUGGCCCACCUGCGCAAACGCAGGCGGCAAGCGCGGGUC